GGUACCAAACCACAAAGGGAAGGCUGGGAUUGAUUUUGGGGAUAAUUCCCUAGAAAUUUGAGGAAUUAGGGGCCAUAAAGGGGCAAAAAAACAAGCAUUUUUCUAGUUUCAGGACAAUAACUUGUGUGUAAGUGUAUGGAUCUUUAUGAAAUUGUACUGCAAGGUUCCAUAUCACAAAGGGAAAGCUGGGUUUGAGUUUGGGGGUAAUUGCCCUAAAUGUUUAGGAAUUUGGGGCCAAAAAACAAGCAUUUUUCUUGUUUCCAGACAAUAACUUGUGUUCAAGUGUAUGGAUCUCUCUGAAAUUGUACAGUUCAUGCAUGUGAACCUCCCGAUCGGAGUACAAUAAUCCCGUUUUCAGGGGUCUCCUCCCGACCUCCCGUUGAAGACAAAAAAAUCCCGUGUAUGAAAUAUUUCAUGAAUGAAAUUUCAGCCCAACAUAUCUGGUGUAACUGACAUUACUGAAGUUAUAUUUUACCUGUAAAUCAAUUAACAUGCAUAAUUAUAUGGCCUCACUUGUCACCUUGGGUGUCAAACAUACUGGUAAUAAACGAUUUUUACCUCA
Mytilus californianus (California mussel) is the source of this 562-nucleotide long non-coding RNA. RefSeq lists it as uncharacterized. The record is from RefSeq and is a predicted model, not a curated record. NCBI's taxonomy places the organism in Eukaryota, Metazoa, Mollusca, Bivalvia, Mytilida, Mytilidae. The transcript is spliced from 2 exons.